AUGAAGGUCAACGCUGAUGACUUCUUCAAGGCAGCCGCCCUCGACAAGCCUAGGGUGACCAACAAGGUUGGAUCCAACGUCACUUUGAUCAACGUCAUGCAGAUUGCUGGACUCAACACCCUCGGCAUCUCAAUUGCGCGCAUCGACUAUGCUCCCUUGGGUCAAAACCCACCACAUACGCACCCUCGCGCCACUGAGAUCCUCACGGUGCUCGAGGGGACACUGUACGUUGGCUUUGUCACAUCCAACCAGCCCGCCCCAAACAGAAACAAGUUCCUCUCGAAGGUGCUCAACAAAGGUGAUGUGUUCGUCUUCCCCGUGGGGCUCAUCCACUUCCAAUUCAACCCCAACCCCCACAAGCCCGCCGUUGCAAUUGCCGCGCUCAGCAGCCAGAACCCAGGGGCUAUCACAAUUGCCAAUGCGGUGUUUGGGUCAGACCCACAAAUAUCCGAUGAUGUUCUUGCCAAGGCGUUUCAGGUGGAAAAGAAUACAAUAGACUGGCUCCAGGCUCAGUUCUGGGAGAACAACCACAACUAA
Molecule: ribosomal RNA, 537 nt
Filed under: Triticum aestivum (bread wheat)
Lineage: Eukaryota; Viridiplantae; Streptophyta; Magnoliopsida; Poales; Poaceae
Description: partial small subunit ribosomal RNA
Source: RNAcentral